RNAcentral lists this ribosomal RNA (305 nucleotides) under uncultured bacterium. RNAcentral describes it as "bacterial SSU rRNA". It matches the Rfam family "Bacterial small subunit ribosomal RNA", at positions 337 to 659 of the family's 1533-position model. The record is from RNAcentral.
UCCUACGGGAGGCAGCAGUGGGGAAUAUUGCACAAUGGGGGGAACCCUGAUGCAGCGACGCCGCGUGAGCGAUGAAGUAUUUCGGUAUGUAAAGCUCUAUCAGCAGGGAAGAAAAUGACGGUACCUGACUAAGAAGCCCCGGCUAACUACGUGCCAGCAGCCGCGGUAAUACGUAGGGGGCAAGCGUUAUCCGGAUUUACUGGGUGUAAAGGGAGCGUAGACGGCUGUGCAAGUCUGGAGUGAAAGGCAUGGGCUCAACCUGUGGACUGCUUUGGAAACUGUGCGGCUUGAGUGUCGGAGAGGCA